RNAcentral lists this long non-coding RNA (1051 nucleotides) under Olea europaea (common olive). Its description in RNAcentral is "long non-coding RNA (OEUR_LNC014136)". The record is from RNAcentral. Lineage: Eukaryota; Viridiplantae; Streptophyta; Magnoliopsida; Lamiales; Oleaceae.
GCACUUUACCUAAUCGAGUCAUUGAAUGUUAGGCAUCAGCUUAUGGGAGAAAAUUGUGAUACUAAUAGCUCCAAAUAUGGCCUCCAAGAGAUUCUAUAAAUCACGAACUUCUUUUUCAUUUCAAUUUUUUUAAAUUUAUUUAAAGAAGAAAUUGCCUUACCAGAUAGCAAGCUCCACAACCACUUCCACCACUGUAAAGCCUAGAGACACCCGCGACUUGACCAUUGUUGACGGUCUUUCCAAACUCUCCAAACCCACAAGCUCCAGCUGGAAAAAUUAUGAGAAGCUCAUUUGAAUUAGUUAUCAUCACACCGAAUAAUACAAACUACUAUAUUACGAUCUACUACGCUAGUGGUAUUAUUAAUAUUCUGUUCCGUACUAUUGACUGAGUCAAAAUAUCUUGAAGAAGUAAAAUAUUUGGUAAAAAAAAUUGAAAAUCACUUAACUCUUUUCUACACAAAAUUUAGAAAUGGGUGAUGGGAUUGCGAUAGCGAUGGGGGUGGGUGAUGGUCAUUUUUGUAGUCGCAUGGGCUUGAUAGUAGUACAAAUCUGGUGGCAAGUUGAGAUAGUAUAGAUCUAGUGGUGACCGAAGGUGGUGAUCGUGAGAUGGCUGGAAGUUCAAAUCUGAUGGUGACAUUUUAGAUUGGUGUCAAUGGUUGUAAUGGUGGUGGUGGAAAUAGGCAGCGUCAACGACAGUGGCGACGGUGGUUUCAACGUUGAUAAUCACCACAGUGAUGAAAACAUGCAGCGGAAUAGACGUAAAAUUGUGUUACAAAAAGUGUAACACAUAUUUUACACAAGGGUAACACACAGUCUUUCAAAAAUAAUAAUAAUAAUAAUAAAGUAAAAUAGUUGUGCAAAAAAAUAAAAUAUCAUAAAGAAGAGGGGAAAGGGAAAACGAGAGCACCACAUACUUGCAGUUCCUAGGCCUUCGGGACUACUGUAAUAGGUUGCUCUCGAGUAUUGAAAUCUUUGGCCAUAACAAGUUGCUGCCAACAGCAAUAUCAUAGGAAAAAAGAAGAAAUAAGAACCCAUUUUUCAGGCAGUUCCA